Molecule: long non-coding RNA, 745 nt
Filed under: Homo sapiens (human)
Lineage: Eukaryota; Metazoa; Chordata; Mammalia; Primates; Hominidae
Description: HSALNT0260919
Source: RNAcentral
CGCGUGGACCGUUGCAGGGGUAUAACGGCCCCUGGGCGCGCGCCGCGAAGGGACAACCAGCGAGGCAGUGGGAAGAGCACUUUGGGAGGCCGAGGCGGGCGGAUCACUUGCGGUCAGGAGUUCGAGACCAGCCUGGCCAACAUGAAACCCCGUCUCUACUAAAAAUACAAAAAUGAGGUGGGCGUCGUGACGGGCGCCUGUAAUCCCAGCUACUCGGGAGGCUGAGGCAGGAGAAUCGCUUGAACUCGGGAAGCGGAGGUUGCAGUGAGCAGAGAUAGCACUGGACUCCAGCCUGGGCAGCAGAGGGAAACUCCGUCUCAAAAAAAAAAAAAAAAAGGCACUUUUAAUGCAUUCAGUCUGAUUUUUAGAUGUUAGUGGCUUGAAACAACAACAACUUUUCUUUAAGCACUGCGGGGCUGCCAAAUCGAGUGCGUGGACUGUCAUUACAAACCGUGAUGUGUAAGGGACUUUUGAGAUUACUUGAGGAGACACAGGAAAGACAAGGUGGGGGGCAGUGAAUUCCUGAUACCUGUAUUUCAAAUUAAUGUCUUUACAACGCCUAUGCAGUGUUCCGAGUCUUUUCAAUCUUAAAUUUGUGAGCUGGCAGCAUCUGGAGAACAAGGACGCUUGGGCUCACUCUGGAUCCCCCAAACCCCUUGGGAGCCCAUCAGCUCUGAUUUACCCUUCAACUCUCAGCUUGAAGUCACCUUCUCAGGGUAGUCUCCCAGAUUUGGCCUGAUCCCUC